Molecule: ribosomal RNA, 460 nt
Filed under: uncultured bacterium
Lineage: Bacteria
Description: partial small subunit ribosomal RNA
Rfam family: Bacterial small subunit ribosomal RNA
Source: RNAcentral
AGGAUGAACGCUGGCGGCGUGCCUAAUACAUGCAAGUCGAGCGGCAGCGCAGGGUGCUUGCACCCUGGCGGCGAGCGGCGGACGGCUGAGUAACGCGUAGGAACGUACCCUAAAGUGAGGAAUAACUGCCCGAAAGGGUGGCUAAUGCCGCAUGUGCUCUUCGGAGUAAAGCUUCGGCGCUUUGGGAACGGCCUGCGUCCGAUUAGCUAGUUGGUAAGGUAAUGGCUUACCAAGGCUACGAUCGGUAGCUGGUCUGAGAGGAUGACCAGCCAGACUGGGACUGAGAACGGCCCAGACUCCUACGGGAGGCAGCAGUAGGGAAUUUUCCGCAAUGGGCGCAAGCCUGACGGAGCGACGCCGCGUGUGGGAAGAAGGCCUUCGGGUCGUAACCACUGUCGAAGGGGAAGAUAAUGACGGUACCCUUGGAGGAAGCCCCGGCUAACUACGCGCCAGCAGCCGC